This is a non-coding RNA of Erythranthe guttata (spotted monkey flower), 575 nucleotides long. The record is from RefSeq and is a predicted model, not a curated record. NCBI's taxonomy places the organism in Eukaryota, Viridiplantae, Streptophyta, Magnoliopsida, Lamiales, Phrymaceae.
GUGACUAAAUAAUGUUUUUUUAUAAUAUCAAUUUUGAUUUCUAGACAUUGGUGGAAGUUUUCAACCCUUAGUUUCAUUGAAUUUGAUUGAAGCUUUACCCAACUUGGAGUCCAGAUCAUCUAUUCGAUAAAUGGGCUAUUCAAUUUUCAGGAUGAUGGAAAAUUUCUUAUAUUGCUGACGAGCCCAAGACGAUGAAUCAGAAUAACCUAAUCAAGAUUGGAAAAGUAUUUAAUUUUUUCUAAUUAUAUUUUGGGAUUUGGUGUAUGACUCUUUGUAAAAUUCUGGAAUUACAUAUCCGUUAUCUCACAAAAAAUAGUUGAAGAAAAUAAGCUCUUGAUUAUUAGCUGCAGAUAGUGAAGCCUUGGUAUGUGCUAGCUGCAAGUUAACACUAAUUUUAUGUGGGGGCAUUUUCGAAAUUAGAAAAUGAGAGAACAAAAUAAAGAGUUGUUAUAUUUGGAUGUUGGAAUUCGUUGUAAUGUUUGUAAGCAUUUUGAUAGAUUUAUUUUUAUUUUAUUAUGGGUAAAUAUAUUUUGAGGGAUGAUUUGAGAAUGAAUAAACUUCAGUUAUAUUUUGGA